RNAcentral lists this ribosomal RNA (490 nucleotides) under Gemella morbillorum. RNAcentral describes it as "bacterial SSU rRNA". It matches the Rfam family "Bacterial small subunit ribosomal RNA", at positions 28 to 500 of the family's 1533-position model. Lineage: Bacteria; Bacillati; Bacillota; Bacilli; Caryophanales; Gemellaceae. The record is from RNAcentral.
GACGAACGCUGCGGCGUGCUAAUACAUGCAAGUCGAGCGAAGUUUUUCUGGUGCUUGCACUAGAAAAACUUAGCGGCGAACGGGUGAGUAACACGUAAAGAACCUGCCUCAUAGACUGGGACAACUAUUGGAAACGAUAGCUAAUACCGGAUAACAGUAUUUCUCGCAUGAGAGAUAUUUAAAAGUUGGUUAUGCUAACACUAUGAGAUGGCUUUGCGGUGCAUUAGCUAGUUGGUGGGGUAAAGGCCCACCAAGGCGACGAUGCAUAGCCGACCUGAGAGGGUGAUCGGCCACACUGGGACUGAGACACGGCCCAGACUCCUACGGGAGGCAGCAGUAGGGAAUCUUCCGCAAUGGGCGAAAGCCUGACGGAGCAACGCCGCGUGAGUGAAGAAGGAUUUCGGUUCGUAAAGCUCUGUUGUUAGGGAAGAAUGGAUAUGUAGUAACUAUACAUGUAAGAGACGGUACCUAACCAGAAAGCCACGGCUAA